This is an RNA transcript of Cebus imitator (Panamanian white-faced capuchin), 4056 nucleotides long. RefSeq lists it as uncharacterized. The record is from RefSeq and is a predicted model, not a curated record. The transcript has 9 exons. Lineage: Eukaryota; Metazoa; Chordata; Mammalia; Primates; Cebidae.
ACAUCUGGGAACUAGUUAUGUCCCCUGGGCAUUUUAUUUUCCUGAACAGUAAGAGAAAGCAUCGUUUUCUUUCGCUAAGCCCGCAUCCUCUGACGGAUGUUCCGAAACCGCCAGGUGUGGAAUCUGCGCCCCGACAGCCCCACCUUGGCCCUCGGCCGCGGGAGGACGGCCAACCCUCGGGGCUAUUCUCCACACACAUUGUGCACGAAUUCACCCUGCCUGGCCAGCCGGGAUCACGCAGGGAAAAAGCACCCGCGACCACAGGGUGUUGGUCAUGGCGGCCAGGGGCACUGCGGCAGAUUUUUUUCCUCCCUUCUUUGCUGCAAUCUGGGUGCGGCUGGAGCAAUUUGUCAUAGAAUCUGGGGGGCUCAUUUUUCCGGCCAAUCACUUUUAGAGAAAUGAGCGCAUUGCAGCAGAAUGCGCUGACGUCAGAGACCACCCCUUCUGCGCCUCCAUAUAAACCCCACCCAGCCAGCCCCUAGCGCAGACGGCGGAGAGCGGAGAAGGAGCGCGCCUUGGCUCGCUGGCCUUGGCUGCGGCUCCUCGGGAGAGCUGGGGCGCCCACGCGAGGAUCCCUCACCUGGGUCUCUCCUCAGGGAUGACAUCAUCCAUCCACCUCCUUGUCUUCAAGGACCACCAACUCUCCAUGCCGAGCUGCUGCCAAGGGGCCUGCUGCCCAUCUACACCUCACGAGGGCACUAGGAGCACGGAUUCCCGGAUCCCACCAGCAUGCACAGCAGCCACUGACAGACUCCCAGGACCAGGAUGGCAAAGGAUGAAGAGGACCAGAACUGACCAGCCUGCUGUCCCUCUUGCCUAAAGACUUAAACCAAUGCCCUAGUGAGGGGGCAUUGGGUGUUAAGCCCUGACCUUUGCUAUGUUCAUGCUUUGACUCUAUGAGUUCUUUCCUAUACAUCUUUGCUUGUGUUCACCUGCUAGCAAACUGGAGUGUUUCCCUCCCCAAGGGGUCGUCAGUCUUUCUGGACUGUCUGUCAUCACCCUUAUGAUGUCCUAAAUGGAAGGAUCCCUUUGGGAACUUCUCAGGAGGGGGACCUGGGCCGAGGGCUUGACCAGCAUCCUGCUGGCAACUCCAAGGCCCUGGGUGGGCUUCUGGAAUGAGCAUGCUACUGAAUCACCAAAGGCAUGCCACACCUCUCUGGAGAUCUUUCCUGUCCUUUUCUGGGGAAUGGGGUUGAUGGGAGCAACCUCCUAGGGUUGUUGUGAGAAUUAAAUGAGAUUAAAUUGGGCUCAGGCAGGAUCUGGCAUAGAGGAGGUGAUCAGCAAAUGUUUGUUGAAAAGGUUUGUCAGGUCAGUCCCUUCGCACCCCUUUUGCGUGUCUUACUCAUCCUAUUUAUUCUCCCACAGCACUGCAGGCAGCCCUUGUCCACGGGGCUCUCCUUGCAUCAGGUAGGGGCUUGCAGAGACCACCGACGGGCUGACUUGAGUAAGAACACGAAUUUCGCAUGUGGCCAUUUCCAGAGCACUUUCUAUGUGACACGAACAUGUGGUUUUUAUGUACUAUGUGUAUGUAAAUGAGUCAGCCUAAUUUCCAGGUGACAAUGCAUUUGGUAGUAUUGAUUUGUGUAAUUUAAAAAAGCUGAAAGGGAAAGAGGACCUGUGAGGACUUACAUUUACAUUAAAGAAACUGGAACUUGGGGGAGGUGUAAGUAUUUGGUCACAUUGCUGGCCAGAGAAGGGGUUCGAGUUGGACCCAGGGUGCCAUGGUCGCUGCCCUCACCCCCUCUUCCUCUCUGUCCCAGAGUUAUACUCAGAGUCUUUUUGUUUCAAACCAAACGUUUGAAAACGGGACAGUCUGUUUGAAAUCCCAGCUGCCUGGGGUGGUCUUGGGGGUCUGGGUGGCCCCAGUGCUGGUACCAUGCAUUGGCUUCACCUUUUAAUAAUGGUGUGACCUUAAACAAGUCACUUAACUUCUCUAAGUUUCAGGUUCUUUCAUGGUCUAAAUGCAGAUGAAAACACACCCCCGCACACACACACCUCCCACCACGCACCCCCCCCAACCCCCCCGCCACAUACCCCCUCGUGUAUCUACCCUGCAGGGCGCUUUUGAAGACCAAAUGCUGUAAGUACUACGAAAGUGCUUUGUAAAUUGCUGUGGAAAUUGCAAGGUACUUAAACGCCUGAGGCUGUCCCUCCUCGCUCCCAUGCCCAGGCCUAUUCUCCCUUAGUGAGAACAGCACCCAGUAGGUGCUACGUAUGCUUGUGUUCGUUCAGAAAUUCCAGAAUAACUAAAAACGAAUUAAUUCAACAAACAUUUUCUGGAGCACCGACAAUAUGCGCAGUGCACCAGGCUAGACGUCUGAUGCAAAGAUCAUGAAAACGGUCUCUUGGAACCUAAUUGGGGUCCUGGUUUGACCAGCACUUUCUUUGGUCCCCUUUUAAGCUGACUAGUUUUGUCUGGACAAGACAAAAACAACGUGGGCUGCUUUAGAGAAGUCCCGCUCGCUGCGGACAAUGGCUGCCCGGCCUCUGAAAGGCGCUGAUUGGAUUAUGUGGCAAAUGGAGGUGCGAGGAUGACUUGGACGGUGACAAAUGAGGUGGGCGGAGACCUGCUUUGAGUUAAUCCAGGCUAUUAGGAGGGGACCUUUGUCUUCCAGAGACUGGCAGGAGCUUUUACCAGUGGUUAAAAUGUUAAAAACAUGCUUAAAUGUUCAGGACAAAUAAUUUAUGGUCGGUGAAAAUCCAGGCCCCAGUGAGAUUCGAGUGGGCUGUAAGAUCGAGAGUGCUCUCCAGUGAGCAAUGGCAGGGAAUGUUUUGGUCACUGUUUGCAAGCGUCCCUUCAUUUGAUCCUCACAACUCCCUGUCCUGAGCCAGGGCCGGCCUGCCACUCCCAGGGAAACGGAGGCUGUCAAGCGCUUGCAGGUUAGGCGUCCUCACUGGCCCGUGGAGCCCCCAUUGCCUGAGUUCCAGAGGCAGCAUUGUACCUGCGUCAGCCCCGGCCUCCUCCAGAGGCCUCCCUCUGCAUUUCUGACUUCGCUCUGCCGGCAGCCUGGAGCCUCCCAGGUCCCUGCUGUCGUCUUUUCUAGCCGCUACAGCCUCUGUCUUUCGUUUCACAGCUAAGCUGCUUGAAAGGCCUGUCUACACUCGCUGUCUUCCCUCCUCACCUCCAUUUCCUCUUCAGCCCACUGCUUCCUGACUCGCUCUACUCCGUGGAAGGGCUCUCGCCAAGGAUGCCCUUGGCCAGCCCCACAGCCCCACACCUCCUCAGGGUGUCCCAGCACCAGCCUGGCACAGAAUGGGGCUCAGUUAGAGUAUGUGGGAUGUUGGUUUCUCCAGGCGACUGAAUGAAAGGACUCGACCGCCACAGCUGAGCCACUAGCAGGUUCCCAGUGCCCCCACAAGACCCUUCUGGAGUCUCCAUCUCCUGCCAAGCAUCCUCCAAUGCCUCCUCCUGUGGGUCUGGCUUCAGGGCUGAGAACAGACAUGUGUCCUGCACCAGAGACCCCUCGUGAUCAGGCCCUGCAAUCACUCCACAUCACUGGAGAGCAACCUGCAGCGACGUGGGCCGUGGCCCGGCUGGGUCAGCUGAAGAACUGCAGAUGGAAGUGGAGGAAGACCCCCUGAUGGGACCCACCACUCCGGACCCAAGUCUUUUUCCUGGCCAACCUCUUGCCUUCUUCCUGGUUUGGGCCGACGCCAUCCUGGAUUCCUGCGUGGGAAGGGACCUCGAAUGUGGGACCCCAGCCCCCUCCAGCUUGAAAUCCCUCCACAGCCACGGGGACGCCCUGCACCUAUUCCCACGGGACAGGCUGGACCCAGAGACUCUGGACCCGGGGCACCCCCUUGAGUAGAGACCCGCCCUCUGACUGAUGGACGCCGCUGACCUGGGGUCAGAGCUGCGGGCUGGACCCCUGCCCACCCCGCAGGAACCCAGAGGCCUAGGGGAGCUGCCGAGCCUUCGGUGUCUGCAUGCGGGGAGUGGUGGGCUGGUUCACCUACCUCACAGGGCUGUUGUGAGGGCACUGUGAUUCGGCAAAGCACAGGGCUUGGCACACCCCACUGUGCUCUCAAUAAAUGUGUUUCCUGUCUUAACAAACA